UUCCUACGGGAGGCAGCAGUAGGGAAUCUUGCGCAAUGGGCGAAAGCCUGACGCAGCAACGCCGCGUGGGGGGUGAAGGCCUUCGGGUCGUAAACCCCUUUCAGCAGGGACGAAAAUGACGGUACCUGCAGAAGAAGGUCCGGCCAACUACGUGCCAGCAGCCGCGGUAAUACGUAGGGACCAAGCGUUGUCCGGAAUUAUUGGGCGUAAAGAGCUCGUAGGCGGUUCGGUAAGUCGGGUGUGAAAAUCCAGGGCUCAACCCUGGGACGCCACCCGAUACUGCUGUGACUAGAGUCCGGUAGAGGAGCGUGGAAUUCCUGGUGUAGCGGUGAAAUGCGCAGAUAUCAGGAGGAACACCAGCGGCGAAGGCGGCGCUCUGGGCCGGUACUGACGCUGAGGAGCGAAGGCGUGGGGAGCAAACAGGAUUAGAUACCCUGGUAGUCCACGCAGUAAACGUUGGGCACUAGGUAUGGGGUCUUAUCAACGGAUUCCGUGCCGUAGCUAACGCAUUAAGUGCCCCGCCUGGGGAGUACGGCCGCAAGGCUAAAACUCAAAUGAAUUGACGGAA
This 568-nucleotide ribosomal RNA is filed under the name uncultured Actinomycetes bacterium. RNAcentral's name for it is "bacterial SSU rRNA". It matches the Rfam family "Bacterial small subunit ribosomal RNA", at positions 336 to 918 of the family's 1533-position model. The record is from RNAcentral. Lineage: Bacteria; Bacillati; Actinomycetota; Actinomycetes.